CCUAUGUGCACCAUUUUGAGUGGAUAAAGAUGGUUGGUUGGCCAUUCAAAUUCAAAUGAUGUUUGAAUUUGAAUGGGCAACUAAUCUCAUACGCCACCUUAUCCACUUGUGCGCCACUUACUCUACACGAGAAAAAGUUUCUCGUGUAAAUUCUCCACACACAAAGAACCCACACCCCCUUCUUCUUAUGCCAAGAGUGG
Molecule: long non-coding RNA, 200 nt
Filed under: Elaeis guineensis (African oil palm)
Lineage: Eukaryota; Viridiplantae; Streptophyta; Magnoliopsida; Arecales; Arecaceae
Description: long non-coding RNA (EGUI_LNC051967)
Source: RNAcentral